Molecule: ribosomal RNA, 495 nt
Filed under: uncultured bacterium
Lineage: Bacteria
Description: partial 16S ribosomal RNA
Rfam family: Bacterial small subunit ribosomal RNA
Source: RNAcentral
GACGAACGCUGGCGGCGUGCCUAAUACAUGCAAGUAGAACGCUGAAGGAGGAGCUUGCUUCUCUGGAUGAGUUGCGAACGGGUGAGUAACGCGUAGGUAACCUGCCUGGUAGCGGGGGAUAACUAUUGGAAACGAUAGCUAAUACCGCAUAAGAGUAGAUGUCGCAUGACAUUUGCUUAAAAGGUGCAAUUGCAUCACUACCAGAUGGACCUGCGUUGUAUUAGCUAGUUGGUGAGGUAACGGCUCACCAAGGCAACGAUACAUAGCCGACCUGAGAGGGUGAUCGGCCACACUGGGACUGAGACACGGCCCAGACUCCUACGGGAGGCAGCAGUAGGGAAUCUUCGGCAAUGGACGGAAGUCUGACCGAGCAACGCCGCGUGAGUGAAGAAGGUUUUCGGAUCGUAAAGCCCUGUUGUAAGAGAAGAACGAGUGUGAGAGUGGAAAGUUCACACUGUGACGGUAUCUUACCAGAAAGGGACGGCUAACUACGUG